Molecule: long non-coding RNA, 1156 nt
Organism: Oncorhynchus gorbuscha (pink salmon)
Lineage: Eukaryota; Metazoa; Chordata; Actinopteri; Salmoniformes; Salmonidae
Exons: 4
Source: RefSeq, a predicted model, not a curated record
UCAAUAAUACAUGAUUCUAUACAUUGGUUAUUCUCCAUGUUCCUUUUAAGACAUGGGGUUUUCCAGUAAACCUGCAGCACUGUGAUGAACUCUAAUGAGAUGAAUCCAAAGGUAUCAGUUGUUUUCUGCCAGCUGUAGCUCCCCGGUGAGAGGAAGUCAUUAUAACGUUUCACAGUGUGGUAGUUCACUCUGAUCUAAGACAAUCACCUAAAGCAUCAGUGAUGCACACGUGUUGGCUGUUUGAUGUGUCUUUCAUCAUUCCAACCAUCACAGCCUGGCUCUGUGAAGAUCAGCCUGGCUCUGUGAAGAUCAGCCUGGCUCUGUGAAAAUCAGCCUGGCUCUGUGAAAAUCAGCCUGGCUCUGUGAAGAUCAGCCUGGCUCUGAACAUCAGCCUGUCUUUGUGAAAAUCAGCCUGGCUCUGUGAAGAUCAAGCCUGACUCUGUGAAAAUCAGCUGGAUAAAGAGUUUUCUCGCUGAAUAGCAACUGAAUUGCGUUUAGGGAUGUGGAGUUCUGUUUUUGUUCCUUUGUAGUUGAAGCAAACACAGAUGUUCUGUAGCGUUGGCACGGUGAUAAACACUAGAGAGGUGGGGUGUAAACAACAGACUUGUUUACAGCCACUGGAACCAUCUAAUCUGUGUGGUUGAGCUUUUAUUUGACAUGUGCAAGGAGAGCUAAUCGCUCUGUGGUCAGAUGGAGAGACAUGGAUGGCUUCCCAGAUGCUGAUUCUGGUCCACGGCUUCAAGCAGAUGAUUAUUGAAAGAAGCAUGUUGUUCUCUCGUAGCUGUUCUCUACUGGGAAGAUCAGCGGGACCAAAGCAGCGAAGCUCAAAGCCAGUUUCAGCCUCCUCCAUGACACCUUGAAAAGGUCUCAGCAGUCAGAGAUCCGGCUGCUGCAGGAGGCCAAGCAGUUCAGAGCAGAGCUGGAGCGCCAGCAGAGAGAUCUGGAGACGGCUGAGCAGUUCCCUGAGGGGCCGGACACAGAGGUCAGCCGCAUGAGACAGCAGCUCCUCAAGUUCCACAACGACCUGCAUCAGGCAGAGGAGAGGGACUACCAGAUGAACUACCAGCUAGAGUGUCUCACAGAAGAGAAGCUUUGCCUGGAGAAAGAGUAUGAGUCUCAACCCAAACCAGUUGAGCUGGAGAAGCGUGCGAAGGCC